This 1052-nucleotide ribosomal RNA is filed under the name Philometra kotlani. RNAcentral describes it as "partial large subunit ribosomal RNA". It matches the Rfam family "Eukaryotic large subunit ribosomal RNA", at positions 107 to 899 of the family's 3401-position model. Lineage: Eukaryota; Metazoa; Nematoda; Chromadorea; Rhabditida; Philometridae. The record is from RNAcentral.
GCCCAGCGCUAAAUCUGCUGAUUUUCCUAAUUAGUCAGAAAUGUGGCGUAUAGGUGUGAUUGAUUUCGGAUCGUACGUUUCUCGUUCGCCCUAAGUCCUCCUUGAUUGGGGCCACGGUCCAUAGAAGGUGCUAGACCUGUUCGGGUGGCGAAACGUACGAUACCCGGUCACACUUUAGAGUCGAGUUGCCUGGGAUCGCAGCUCAAAGUAGGUGGUAGACUUCAUCUAAGGCUAAAUAUGGCCACGAGACCGAUAGCGAACAAGUACCGUGAGGGAAAGUUGAAAAGAACUGUGAAGAGAGAGUUAAAAAGGACGUGAAACCGCUGGGAUUGAAGCGGAUAGAGUUGACGAAACUUUAAUCAACAUUCAGCCGAUUCAACGAAUAUCGUAUGUUUGGCGUCAUGUACGCGUCGUUGCGCGUAUUUGUGCUGUUUUCGCAAUACGCAAAUACGUGAUCAAUGAACGUCGACAUGGCUAAUUGCGAUUUGCUAACAAUUCGUUGUAUGUGCGCUUUUUUGUGCACAUGUGAGAAAAUCGGUGAUUUUGUUGGUGGUAUGCGUCGAGUGGCUUGUCAUAGCGUAUCAUUGCCGUACUAGUUGAUAGUAGAUCAUCGAUGUGCUGUGCUCGUCAUGCAUGUUGUUAAUGAAUCUUGUCGGUACGUGCGCAAUCGCAGAUAUCGCAGCGAUAAGUCUGGAUGAAAACUCGAUGUGAACGUCGAUCACCUAUCCGACCCGUCUUGAAACACGGACCAAGGAGUCUAGCACAUACGCGAGUCAAUGGGUAUAUCGAAAACCUAUAGGCGUAAUGAAAGUGAAAUAUUGUGUGCGAUUAAAUGCGCGCGCACAAUUGAUGUGCGAUUUGUUGUUUUUCUUAACCGACGUACAACGAAGCAGCAUAGCCCCGUUCAUGUUGUUUGUGCGACUUGUGCGUCACACAACCGAACGGAGGAAGAGCGUAUGCGCUGGUACCCGAAAGAUGGUGAACUAUGCCUGAGCAGGAUGAAGCCAGAGGAAACUCUGGUGGAAGUCCGAAGCGGUUCUGACGUGCAAAUC